This 454-nucleotide ribosomal RNA is filed under the name Klebsiella pneumoniae. RNAcentral's name for it is "bacterial SSU rRNA". It matches the Rfam family "Bacterial small subunit ribosomal RNA", at positions 1 to 453 of the family's 1533-position model. The record is from RNAcentral. Lineage: Bacteria; Pseudomonadati; Pseudomonadota; Gammaproteobacteria; Enterobacterales; Enterobacteriaceae. RNAcentral also lists the same sequence under 3 other names.
AAAUUGAAGAGUUUGAUCAUGGCUCAGAUUGAACGCUGGCGGCAGGCCUAACACAUGCAAGUCGAGCGGUAGCACAGAGAGCUUGCUCUCGGGUGACGAGCGGCGGACGGGUGAGUAAUGUCUGGGAAACUGCCUGAUGGAGGGGGAUAACUACUGGAAACGGUAGCUAAUACCGCAUAAUGUCGCAAGACCAAAGUGGGGGACCUUCGGGCCUCAUGCCAUCAGAUGUGCCCAGAUGGGAUUAGCUAGUAGGUGGGGUAAUGGCUCACCUAGGCGACGAUCCCUAGCUGGUCUGAGAGGAUGACCAGCCACACUGGAACUGAGACACGGUCCAGACUCCUACGGGAGGCAGCAGUGGGGAAUAUUGCACAAUGGGCGCAAGCCUGAUGCAGCCAUGCCGCGUGUGUGAAGAAGGCCUUCGGGUUGUAAAGCACUUUCAGCGGGGAGGAAGGCG